UGUAAAUUAAUAUAAUAAUAUAUAGUUAUAUCAAGUGGUAUAAUAUAUUACAGUUGCUUCUCUAUCAGAAGUUUCAGUUUGGUGAGCUGAGAUUAUGAUCUUUCCAUCUUUCUCUAGAGCAUCGUGUUCAUACUUUUUUUCCCCUGAGUCUCUCUGUGUCAAACCAUUCGUUUCAAAUACAUUUGUUUCUGGACUACAGUCUCUAUGUGUUCUUUAACUUUACCUUUUCCACAUUUGUAAUGACUGCAUAAACACAACUUUCAGAUUUAGAAAAUGCUCUCUGAGUUUCCACCAAUGUGUCUCUGUGGUUACAUUAUUGUCACCCUAACCUGGAAGGCUCCUGUCACUUUGCUCCUCUGCCUGUUGACACAUAGGAAGGGGUGAGUUCUCAUGAUGUAUCAGGGGAGUUUGGGGCAGAAUGUCAGGCUCCAAAGAAUGUUCAACUUGAAUGAUUUCCACAACUGCAGAAUUUUCCUGCCUGUCUACUUAUUGAAAGCCUGGGUUACCAGAACUGGUCCAAGACACCUGCUAAGAUAUUCUACCAGUUGCUAUAGGUUAAGGUUUCCAUUAUGUUUUUAAAACCUAGUUUUUUCUCAUGUUAAAAUAUUUUCUAGUUUUCCUAUCAAUAUUUUAUUCAACAUGUAGCUAUAUAGAAGCAUGCUGUUCAACACUGAAAUGUUUGAGUAUUUCCCAAUUAUCUUCCUGGUUUUGAUUUCACGUUUCCUGCUGCUAUGGUCAGAUAGCACUGUUUUAAUGAUGUCUAGCUUUUACAAUGUUUAUUUUUAAUUUAUUUGAUGGCUCAAAAAUAACUUGUGGCUUGUAAUUGCUUUUUAAAACCUCAAAGCACACCCCCACACUCCAAUGAGGCCACACCUACUCCAACAGGGCCAUAUUCCUAAUCCCUCUCAGAGAAUGCCACUUGCUGUUGACCUAGCAUUAAAAUAUAUAAGGCCAUGGUGGCCAUUCUUAUUCAGACCACCACAAAUCCUAGCCUUUUGUAGUUUUCAUCCCUGGGCAUCUGCCUGUGCCCUUCUCCCUGUGCAUCCUUUCCAUGCAUGGCAAACAAGAGUCAUCCAGACUUCUUCAUGGAACCGAGUGGACAUAUUUCAUAUUACAUCCUCUUUGACACAUCUCUGAGCCUUUUUACACAUGUUCUUCACUACCAGCUUUAGAAGAUCUGGAUUUUCUCUUUCAGGAAUUAUGGACCAUCCUAUGGCCAGGUUCCUACAAGCUAUUCCUGGAGCACAUGGGCACUAUCUCCAGAAAACCCUGGCUGUUUGCUGACUACUAAAAGUCCUGUGUGUCCAAAGCAUGGGGAGACAGCUGAGUGGUAGAGGGCCUGCUUCACAACCACAAGGACUCAGGCUUGUUCCCUGAACUCCUGUAAUAGAGCCAGGUUUACUCUGAGUUACAGCUCCGCUGUCCUGGAACUUCACUGUGUAGACCAUACUGACUUGGACCUCACAGACAUCCUCAUACCUCCUGAGUGUAUGAACUAAAGGAAUGUACCACCAAGACAUGGCCUAAACAUAGGGUUUUUAGUAGGUCUGUGGAUAACAGGUGAGCUGCUUACCUGUUUUUAUCAAUGGCAGAGGAUCAAAACCUUGACUUAAAAUAAUUGAUCUAUUCCAUUGAGUUUACCAGGAGAUAUUUUUCUGCAUCUUAUUUUUGGAACAUCAUUGCCUUUCCAUUAUGAUUUCUUACUCUUCUCAUUCCUAAAGAAAAUAUUAAUCACCAAGUAAAAUGGGUCCAAUACACUCAUAUUUCUUCAUAUACUCAGUUUCUUCCUCAUUGAAAUCCUGCCUUAGAUGCCAGGCACUCACUCUCUCAAGAGAACUUCAUCCUCCAGCCCCAAAGCACAUUAAAUCCUUCUAUGAUAAUCUGUUAUUUUAAAUGGUAUAAUAUGUUCAGAUUACUUUUAGAGAGGUUAAUCAUGGUGAAAAUUGGAAGCAUUAGGAUCAGAAGUUCUAGGACAGCAUCAUUUAAAACUUGAUUCCCAGAUCACCAAUAUUAUGUGGCCCCAUUUUUGAAAAGGAAAAAAAAUGGACAGAGCUACUUCUCAGUUUGCAGAGUACUGGAUUGCAAUGUACUAGGUCCUGCGUUCUAUCUUCAGCAUCACAGAUAAUCAGGUGUGGUGUCACAUGCCUGCAAUUCUAGUCCUAAGGAGGCAGAGACAGAUACUAAAAUUCAUCCUUAACUACAGAUUGAGUAGCAGACCAGCCUGGGAUACAGGAGAAUGUUUCUCAAAAUAACAAUAAUAAUUGUAAUAAUAUUGAGGAACUAGGUUGGGAGUUUGAGCUUGAUAUAAGCCUUGCUUCUUCACUUAGAGUAGAGCACAGUCUCUUAAAUAUCAAACAUGGUUUCUUUUUUUAGGCACGGGUUACUUGCUAUGUAGUUGAUGCCCUUGUUCAGAAUCUUGCUAGUUUUCCAUACCAAUGAGACAAUCAAAAGCAAAGUAAAAAUUCAGUAUAAAAGUAUCAAAUACUAUGAGGCAGGAGAGUGUACUAUAGUCACCAAAAGGUGAUUGCAGGCAUUAGUAGUCGACAAUUUGAGGAGACUGUAGUAGGUCAGGCCAGUCUGAGAAAUCUACCUUCUAGAAAGCAUGUUGUGGAAAGGAACACAACAGAAUAGGGGGGGCCAGGAAAGAAACCCUUCUCAUUUGAUAAUACACAGACUCAUUAGUCACAGCAAUUAUUAUGAGGACCAAUUACAUAAAAGACUGAAGCAGGAACAUCACAAAUUCAAACUAAACCAGGACAACUUAAUGGAACCCUAACUCAAAACCACACAACCCAACAAAAACCAAAAUCCAAACAAACAAAGACCCCUGCUGUGGCCCUGUGAGAUUCUCCUGUCAUCAUUUUCUCUGUGCCCCACAUCUCCUUAUCCCAACCCAUCAGCCUGUAGAGGUUGAGGACAUAAUAUUGUCUUAGGGUACUUGCUCCAUGUUUAUGCAAUCCCCUAAGUGCACUCUUGACUAAGUUUCACUCUUGACUAUCAGUUUAUUCAUCCAGAGUUUGUUUUGUGGAAUGAAAACUGCAAACUAACACCUAUUACUUAGAAAGAUUGAAUGGUCCCUUUAUUGACUUUUGGAUAUUAUGUUCUGUAACAUAAAUACUAACCAGUCUUAUUAA
Peromyscus leucopus (white-footed mouse) is the source of this 3134-nucleotide long non-coding RNA. RefSeq lists it as uncharacterized. The record is from RefSeq and is a predicted model, not a curated record. The transcript is spliced from 2 exons. Lineage: Eukaryota; Metazoa; Chordata; Mammalia; Rodentia; Cricetidae.